AGGAGGCGGGCGCCACGGCUCGGGUCGGCGGCACUGGCUGCGGGCGUCGGGCGAGGGGCGAGGGAGCCCCCCCAGCCCCCGCUGGCGCCCGCAACUCGGGGCCCCGUCCGGGAGCUGCAGCGGCCACACUUCGCGCAGACACGCGCGCGGGGGAGGGGAGGGUGACAGAACCGACCCGGGAAGCUGGCCUUGGGCGCACGGGACCCCUCACCUGCCGAGGCAAGUAGGGAGCCAGUGGCCCACCCGGAUAGACGCGCCACUAGAGAGCCUUCAGGCGCUGAGGCAAGGGUCCCUCCCGGGCGUGGAAAAUUCUCGCUUCAACUUGUGGGUCCAGAGUGUGAAUCAAGAAUAACAUGGCAACCGAGCCUGGGGAGCCAUGGACCCAUCCUGAGUCUUGGACCACCAUUCAUGCUGUCUAUCCUCUACCUUAGAAGUGUUCUCGGAGGGAAACAUUGCAUCUUUGAAGUGUCAAGUCGAUUUGAUUACUCUCAGGUAUGUGAGAA
Long non-coding RNA from Herpailurus yagouaroundi (jaguarundi), 503 nucleotides. RefSeq lists it as uncharacterized. The record is from RefSeq and is a predicted model, not a curated record. The transcript is spliced from 3 exons. Lineage: Eukaryota; Metazoa; Chordata; Mammalia; Carnivora; Felidae.